AUGCCGGUGACUUCAUCUGCACAGUGUAUCUGGAGGAGAAGAAGGCAGAGACUGAGCAGCAUAUCAAGAUCCCAGCAUCCAUGACUGCUGAGGAGCUCACCCUGGAGAUCCUGGAUCGCCGGAAUGUGGGCAUCAGGGAGAAGGACUAUUGGACCUGCUUUGAGGUCAACGAGAGGGAGGAGGCAGAGCGCCCCCUGCACUUUGCGGAGAAGGUGCUGCCCAUCCUGCACGGGCUGGGCACGGACAGCCACCUGGUGGUGAAGAAGCACCAGGCCAUGGAGGCCAUGCUGCUGUACCUGGGUAGGUGGUGCUUGC
Molecule: small RNA, 315 nt
Filed under: Pongo abelii (Sumatran orangutan)
Lineage: Eukaryota; Metazoa; Chordata; Mammalia; Primates; Hominidae
Description: retained intron
Source: RNAcentral